AACUACUUGCUGCAUUCUUUUUGGUUGUGCAGGAGACUCUACUAAUACUUUUCAAAGAUGCGUGGUUGUCUAAUCUUUUGGCAGCCAUUUUCAGGGGUGAGUGUAAACAUUGACUUGGGGGGCGUGGCUAACAGAAGCUUAGUUGGAUUUAAAGUGACAGAGGCCCUACAGCAGCUCAUUCUGAGAAAAGCACAAAACUAAA
Xiphophorus couchianus (Monterrey platyfish) is the source of this 202-nucleotide long non-coding RNA. RefSeq lists it as uncharacterized. The transcript has 3 exons. NCBI's taxonomy places the organism in Eukaryota, Metazoa, Chordata, Actinopteri, Cyprinodontiformes, Poeciliidae. The record is from RefSeq and is a predicted model, not a curated record.